RNAcentral lists this transfer RNA (73 nucleotides) under Varanus brevicauda (Short-tailed pygmy monitor). Its description in RNAcentral is "tRNA-Leu". It matches the Rfam family "tRNA". Rfam says of the family: Transfer RNA (tRNA) molecules are approximately 80 nucleotides in length. Their secondary structure includes four short double-helical elements and three loops (D, anti-codon, and T loops). Lineage: Eukaryota; Metazoa; Chordata; Lepidosauria; Squamata; Varanidae. The record is from RNAcentral.
AUUAGGGUAGCUAAUCUGGCAAAAGCAAGAGACUUAAAAUCUCACCAUGAGGGUUCAAAUCCCUCUCCUAACC